UGAAGUAAUGCCUUUACAAUUACAGAAGUAUGUGUGCUUUGAAAUCUUGAGAAAGUCACUGCUGGGCUCUCACGUCUGCAGGCUGUGGCGAGGGAAGAGUCUGCUGCUGUGGGCCAGUUUGCAGACCACUUGCUUCCCAGCCUCCUGAGCCUAGUGUACGAUCCCAUGCCACAUGUGAGGGUUCUGCAGGCCAAGGUCCUGUGAACAUAGUGCUGGAGAAGGGUGUGUGGGCCUUGCUGGCUUCUCUGCUAACCCUGGCUGUGGCAGGUGGCAGCUAGGUCUGCAAAGAAUUACAGUGGGCUGUUUAAGCCUGAGUGAGUACAAGCUGUAUGUCUACUGGCUUGUCUCCCCACCAUAGUGUAGGCCCUUUGUUCAUUUCCAGCCUUCCCUGUCCUGCUCCCCACACAUCAGUUCUCGUGAACUACAGAGCGAGAUGCACAGAAAGGCUUAGUUACUCUAACUUUUAAAACAGGUGCCACUACUAGCAGUCCACCAUUAAAAUCUCAGCCAUACUUUUGGAAUGAGAUAUUUUAUCAUCUGAAAGGACUUAAGUGAAAUGAUAUUUUUGGAAAAAUUUUCCAGGGUCUUGACGUGGCCUAAAAGACAACAAAACUAGGAUGUGUUAUACAACACAGUUCAUGGCACAUGGGACUCCAGCUUUUCUCUCCUUAGCCUGUUUUGGAAAUGCUAGGAACCAUCAUCUUAAAGUUGUUGAAGAGACUUGGCUCUGCAGUUGGCCCAGGACCAAGAAGUUUCUUCGAUUUUUGCUUCCUUAGAACCAAGGAUGCAGAGUGCUUGCUAUAGACAAGUCGCCCGGGGAGGCCUCUGAUGCACAUGUGGCUUGUACUUGAAGAGAACCCAGUUAGUUGUAUAAGAGCUUCUAGAUGCAGCCUCUUUCAGGUGAUGGCAGCUAGUGCCCCACCCCCACACCGCCCCCACCCCCAGACCCGGUCAGUGGCAGUUUGUAGAGAGGUUGUUGUGGAUCCAGGUACCAAUGGCGCUCGGGCUUCCUCAUCAUCAGCUGUCGCCAGCAGUUUGUUUUUUAGGAAAGACUCGUUAUAGAAAAUCUCCCCUUAGAGCCUAGUACAGGAGCUUCCGGGACCUGGAAGGCUGAAGCAGGGAGAUCAAAAGUUCAAACCUAAGAUAGAGAAUUCUAGGCCUGUACGAGCUACUUAACAAAACGCUGUUCAAGAAAAUGGAGCAUAAAUACAGCUCCGCUCGCCAAUAAAGUAAUUUAGUAGAAGCUUGUAAGUAUUCUCUGGGCUUCGUGCCCUAAUCCUCUCCCAGAAAAUGGAGUUCAUGGCACUGUGUUUGGUCUCCAGCUGAAGUACUGUACGUAUGUAACUAACUUGACAGGAAGAGCUAUGGAUGUAACAUCAGCUCUGCAGGAGUAAACAUGUCACGUGAAAUCUUGUUCUGCUUUGGAUUGCUGCUGACUCCACUCAUCUUACGGACUUUUGAAGUGUCCUUGUGACAGCGGCCUAGUAAAGAACUGUUACCCCUCUGUUGUGUAGCACCUCUCGAUACUGCACUUUAUCAACUGCUAUGCUUGCAGUAUCUUCUCCAGCCCUCACCCUUCCCCACUUCAGAAACUGUGAAAAUGUGUGUUGGUCUUUGACAGUAGCUAGUGUCAGAAGGUUGUUUAAUGUGGACAUGGCCAAGGCCUGGGGGUUGGGGGAGGGACUGAUGGCUGGGAUACAUGGAUACUGGUUACACUUCAGACUCCCAAAGAAGAAAAAAGAAAAGAAAAAAGGAAAAAAAAGAAAAGGAAAAGGAAG
This 1778-nucleotide long non-coding RNA is filed under the name Rattus norvegicus (Norway rat). Its description in RNAcentral is "long non-coding RNA NONRATT020027". Lineage: Eukaryota; Metazoa; Chordata; Mammalia; Rodentia; Muridae. The record is from RNAcentral.